UACGAAGGGGGCUAGCGUUGCUCGGAAUGACUGGGCGUAAAGGGCGCGUAGGCGGAUUGGUUAGUCAGACGUGAAAUUCCUGGGCUCAACCUGGGGGCUGCGUUUGAGACGGCUGAUCUAGAGUUUGGAAGAGGGUCGUGGAAUUCCCAGUGUAGAGGUGAAAUUCGUAGAUAUUGGGAAGAACACCGGUGGCGAAGGCGGCGACCUGGUCCUUGACUGACGCUGAGGCGCGAAAGCGUGGGGAGCAAACAGG
Molecule: ribosomal RNA, 253 nt
Filed under: uncultured bacterium
Lineage: Bacteria
Description: partial 16S ribosomal RNA
Rfam family: Bacterial small subunit ribosomal RNA
Source: RNAcentral